Molecule: microRNA precursor, 230 nt
Filed under: Glycine max (soybean)
Lineage: Eukaryota; Viridiplantae; Streptophyta; Magnoliopsida; Fabales; Fabaceae
Description: miR5671b stem-loop (gma-MIR5671b)
Source: miRBase by way of RNAcentral
UGGUUCGUCAUGGAAGUGAAUCGGGUGACUCUUCCGCGUUGAUCUUAUCGGAAAAAACCCAAGUCUCACGUCUGCCAAAGAUAAAGUAUAUAAGUGAGGAAUAAUCCUAAAAACUAGUUUUUAGAGUUGAAUUAGAUCCAAAUUCAGAUUCUAUAACAUCUCUCCUCCACCACCUCCUUAAGGGUCAUGUCAAAUUUUUGAGUUACCCGAAUUUGCUUCCAUGAUGAAUC